UCGAGAGCUAACGAUAAUGGAGA
RNAcentral lists this non-coding RNA (23 nucleotides) under Arabidopsis thaliana (thale cress). Lineage: Eukaryota; Viridiplantae; Streptophyta; Magnoliopsida; Brassicales; Brassicaceae. The record is from RNAcentral.